GAUGAACGCUGGCGGCGUGCCUAAUACAUGCAAGUAGAACGCUGAAGCUUGGUGCUUGCACCGAGCGGAUGAGUUGCGAACGGGUGAGUAACGCGUAGGUAACCUGCCUCUUAGCGGGGGAUAACUAUUGGAAACGAUAGCUAAUACCGCAUAAAAGUCGAUAUCGCAUGAUGUUGACUUGAAAGGUGCAAUUGCAUCACUAAGAGAUGGACCUGCGUUGUAUUAGCUAGUUGGUGAGGUAACGGCUCACCAAGGCGACGAUACAUAGCCGACCUGAGAGGGUGAUCGGCCACACUGGGACUGAGACACGGCCCAGACUCCUACGGGAGGCAGCAGUAGGGAAUCUUCGGCAAUGGGGGCAACCCUGACCGAGCAACGCCGCGUGAGUGAAGAAGGUUUUCGGAUCGUAAAGCUCUGUUGUAAGAGAAGAACGAGUGUGAGAGUGGAAAGUUCACACUGUGACGGUAACUUACCAGAAAGGGACGGCUAACUACGUGCCAGCAGCCGCGGUAAUACGUAGGUCCCGAGCGUUAUCCGGAUUUAUUGGGCGUAAAGCGAGCGCAGGCGGUUAGAUAAGUCUGAAGUUAAAGGCUGUGGCUUAACCAUAGUACGCUUUGGAAACUGUUUAACUUGAGUGCAGAAGGGGAGAGUGGAAUUCCAUGUGUAGCGGUGAAAUGCGUAGAUAUAUGGAGGAACACCGGUGGCGAAAGCGGCUCUCUGGUCUGUAACUGACGCUGAGGCUCGAAAGCGUGGGGAGCAAACAGG
This 765-nucleotide ribosomal RNA is filed under the name uncultured Streptococcus sp. RNAcentral describes it as "bacterial SSU rRNA". It matches the Rfam family "Bacterial small subunit ribosomal RNA", at positions 28 to 776 of the family's 1533-position model. Lineage: Bacteria; Bacillati; Bacillota; Bacilli; Lactobacillales; Streptococcaceae. The record is from RNAcentral.